AAGUCGUAACAAGGUUUCCGUAGGUGAACCUGCGGAAGGAUCAUUACCACGUAUCCACGUACCCACCCACCGUGCACUUGAACCUCCCCAAAUCGGGCCGGAGAGGCGGUUAGUUCGCUUCGAUUUCGUUUGGCAAGCAAUUGCAAAGCGAAAACAAGGAUGAGCUAAUGAUCGGCCUUGAAACCCCUCUUGGGCUACCUUUUUUUCUCAAUAAACCUAUCUCACUUCUUUUUUUGUGAUGAUGUCACAGAAAAAGAAAAUGAACAACUUUAGUAAUUUUGACAAGUUGGCUUAUACUAAAAGGAAGAUUUGUUUCUUUCUUUUAUAUCUAUUGCAACCGAUAGAUCGUAUUGUACAACUCUUAGCAAUGGAUAUCUUGGCUCUC
Molecule: unclassified non-coding RNA, 385 nt
Filed under: fungal sp.
Lineage: Eukaryota; Fungi
Description: partial internal transcribed spacer region
Rfam family: Eukaryotic small subunit ribosomal RNA (bases 1-46)
Source: RNAcentral